AUUUGUUGUUUGAUUGAAUUUUGGGAAAUUUAGGGCUAGUAAUUUGAUUUGUAUUAAUUGAUUUGACUAGAGGUUGAUGAUGAUUUCUAUAGGGCGAGCAGACCUCCGCCACCGCUAAAAAGUCCUGUGUAUGAAUUAAGAUCCAAGGCCUCAUCUCUGGUAAAAAUCAUAAAGAAGAGGAUCCCCAACUUUAGUAAUUGCACGAGGUGGAUUUGCAGGGUUGGUUCCAGAUUCUAGUGCAACUGCAUACCCGUUUGCAGUCGGGGUUAGUGUUCCAGAUUUGGUGUUAUGGUGUGAUGUUCAAUUGUCAAGAGAUGGAGUUAGAACAUGCUUCCCUAAUAUCAAACUGGACAAUUCCUCUGCCAUUCAAAAUGUGUUAAUUUCUAAAUGCGAGCAAUUCUAACUGAAGGAAUAUAUACUUGAAGUACUGCUUUGGAUGGUGCAUUCCCAAUUCAAAGUGUUGAGGAGGUGUUUAUACAAAGUGAACCCGUAGGUUUCUGGUUAAAUGUUCAGGUUAUCCGUGGUAAAGAUGUAAGUCUAGUACUUACAAGGGGAAGGUUCUUCUGAUUUUUAAUGUCGCUUCCCAAUGUGGUUUAACGAAGUCGGACUACAAGGAAUUGAUCAUUUUGUAUAGGAAGUACAAGGACUAAGAUAGAUGUCAACAAGAAGAGUGCAGCACCACUUUUACAAGUUUUUAAAGUCAAAGAAGUUUGGAGUAAUAUUAGAUGAGAUCAAAUGAAACUUUUCGAAGUUUUUGGUGGACAAACAAGGAAAUGUUGUUGAGAGAUAUGCUCUUGUGACCCCCCCCCCCUUGAAAAUUGAGGUUCUAGUGCGAUGUAAUUCGAGAGACAGCAAAGCAUGAGUUCGAUGCAGAGGAGCCAAUAUUUGUUUUGAAUGAGUUUAUUAUUGAUCGAGGGAUAUCCUCAUACCUCACAAACCUAGAGUGCUACUGUGAUAACACUUUUGUGACGUGUUCAAGCAGACGGAUUAAUUUCAUCCACCACGUCUGGAAGCACUGCGUAUUCAUUGGCAGUUGGAGGAUCGAUGGUCCAUCCACAUGUUUGAUCUAACAAACUAAAACUACUCUACACUUUGCUGAUGAAUAAAUUAAAAAAUCUAUUUGAUGAUGCAAGAAAAAUAAAUAAUACCUUUUAAUUUUGAAUAGUAAUACUGG
Molecule: long non-coding RNA, 1174 nt
Organism: Spinacia oleracea (spinach)
Lineage: Eukaryota; Viridiplantae; Streptophyta; Magnoliopsida; Caryophyllales; Amaranthaceae
Exons: 8
Source: RefSeq, a predicted model, not a curated record